RNAcentral lists this ribosomal RNA (46 nucleotides) under Phytophthora infestans (potato late blight agent). RNAcentral describes it as "partial 23S ribosomal RNA". The record is from RNAcentral. RNAcentral also lists the same sequence under 1 other name. Lineage: Eukaryota; Oomycota; Peronosporomycetes; Peronosporales; Peronosporaceae.
UGGACCUGAUAUCAGGCAAGAUUACCCGCUGAACUUAAGCAUAUCA